AACGAACGCUGGCGGCAUGCCUAACACAUGCAAGUCGAACGAGAUCUUCGGGUCUAGUGGCGCACGGGUGCGUAACGCGUGGGAAUCUGCCCUUCGGUUGGGAAUAACUGAGAGAAAUUUCAGCUAAUACCUUAUAAUGUCUUCGGACCAAAGAUUUAUCGCCGAGGGAUGAGCCCGCGUAGGAUUAGGUAGUUGGUGGGGUAAUGGCCUACCAAGCCGACGAUCCUUAGCUGGUCUGAGAGGAUGAUCAGCCACACUGGGACUGAGACACGGCCCAGACUCCUACGGGAGGCAGCAGUGGGGAAUAUUGGACAAUGGGCGAAAGCCUGAUCCAGCAAUGCCGCGUGAGUGAUGAAGGCCUUAGGGUUGUAAAGCUCUUUUACCCGGGAUGAUAAUGACAGUACCGGGAGAAUAAGCGCCGGCUAACUCCGUG
This 433-nucleotide ribosomal RNA is filed under the name uncultured bacterium. RNAcentral describes it as "partial 16S ribosomal RNA". It matches the Rfam family "Bacterial small subunit ribosomal RNA", at positions 29 to 507 of the family's 1533-position model. The record is from RNAcentral.